This 386-nucleotide ribosomal RNA is filed under the name uncultured bacterium. RNAcentral's name for it is "partial 16S ribosomal RNA". It matches the Rfam family "Bacterial small subunit ribosomal RNA", at positions 963 to 1350 of the family's 1533-position model. The record is from RNAcentral.
GAAGANCCUUACCUGGGUUUGACAUCGCCGGAAAUCUUCCAGAGAUGGGGGGUCCCUUGGGGGCCGGUGACAGGUGGUGCAUGGCUGUCGUCAGNUCGUGUCGUGAGAUGUUGGGUUAAGUCCCGCAACGAGCGCAACCCUUGUCCUAUGUUGCCAGCAGGUGAUGGUGGGGACUCAUGGGAGACUGCCGGGGUCAACUCGGAGGAAGGUGGGGANGACGUCAAGUCAUCAUGCCCCUUAUGUCCAGGGCUUCNCGCAUGCUNCAAUGGCCGGUACAGAGGGNUGCGAUNCCGUGAGGUGGAGCGAAUCUCCUAAAGCCGGUUUCAGUUCGGAUCGGGGUCUGCAACUUGACCCCGUGAAGUCGGAGUCGNUNGUNANCGCNGANA